AUCAUAGAUCGUAUGUUGCCAUGUCUCUCGGUUUUGCAUGUUUGAACCUUCGCGAAAAGGACGUGUUCCCAUAGAUAUCUGUGGUAUGUCCUAACUCAUUUCUAGGUUAAAAAAAUUUAAAUAUGAAGAAGUAGCAUGGCUACUUGUGAGACUAUAGGCUACUUGUAUCACUAGAAAACUCAAGUUCCAAUACAGUUCUAUGGCAGCCUGUUCAAUUUUGUGAAAUGGUGAAAGGGGGGUAACUCUUUUUGAAAAUAUGUUUGUCUCCCUUUCACCAUUAGGAAAAUUCGCAGAUUGCAUGAUCUCCAAGAUCCGAAAACAAGCAUAGUACCAUAACUUUGGACGAGAUUCAGAAAACAAAUGAAAGAUCACCAAGUGGGCUUAAGCAGAUUGUAUAUUUUAUUGAAAGGUGCCGAUCCUCCAAAACAACAAUCCAAGUUUUUCUUCUCCUGGUAAAACUAUCUUAAAGGUCGAAUGGUACUAACGUGUGAUAUGUUUCAGUAGUUUACGACUACGUGCCGGUAGCAUUGACAGAUAUACGCUCGUGUUUUGAAGAUAGCUGUUGGGAUAAAGUACUCAUACGCCUGCUUAAAUAAUAACCAAUAGUAGUUAUAGUCUGAUUGUUUUCUCAUAUUUUGACAAAUCUA
Patella vulgata (common limpet) is the source of this 647-nucleotide long non-coding RNA. RefSeq lists it as uncharacterized. The transcript is spliced from 3 exons. The record is from RefSeq and is a predicted model, not a curated record. NCBI's taxonomy places the organism in Eukaryota, Metazoa, Mollusca, Gastropoda, Patellidae.